Molecule: ribosomal RNA, 253 nt
Filed under: uncultured bacterium
Lineage: Bacteria
Description: partial 16S ribosomal RNA
Rfam family: Bacterial small subunit ribosomal RNA
Source: RNAcentral
UACGAACCGUCCAAACGUUAUUCGGAAUCACUGGGCUUAAAGGGUGCGUAGGCGGCCCGGUAAGUUGGGUGUGAAAUCCCACGGCUCAACCGUGGAAUUGCGCCCAAAACUGUCGGGCUCGAGGGAGAUAGAGGUAAGCGGAACUUAGGGUGGAGCGGUGAAAUGCGUUGAUAUCCUAAGGAACACCGGUGGCGAAAGCGGCUUACUGGGUCUCUUCUGACGCUGAGGCACGAAAGCUAGGGGAGCGAACGGG